GACGAACGCUGGCGGCGUGCUUAACACAUGCAAGUCGAACGGAAAGGCCCUGCUUUUGUGGGGUGCUCGAGUGGCGAACGGGUGAGUAACACGUGAGUAACCUGCCCUUGAUUUUGGGAUAACUUCAGGAAACUGGGGCUAAUACCGGAUAGGAGCUCCUGCUGCAUGGUGGGGGUUGGAAAGUUUCGGCGGUUGGGGAUGGACUCGCGGCUUAUCAGCUUGUUGGUGGGGUAGUGGCUUACCAGGGCUUUGACGGGUAGCCGGCCUGAGAGGGUGACCGGCCACAUUGGGACUGAGAUACGGCCCAGACUCCUACGGGAGGCAGCAGUGGGGAAUAUUGCACAAUGGGCGGAAGCCUGAUGCAGCAACGCCGCGUGCGGGAUGACGGCCUUCGGGUUGUAAACCGCUUUCGCCUGUGACGAAGCGUGAGUGACGGUAAUGGGUAAAGAAGCACCGGCUAACUACGUG
Molecule: ribosomal RNA, 468 nt
Filed under: uncultured bacterium
Lineage: Bacteria
Description: partial 16S ribosomal RNA
Rfam family: Bacterial small subunit ribosomal RNA
Source: RNAcentral